UACGUAGGGGGCGAGCGUUGUCCGGAGUUAACGUGGGCGUAAAGGGCGUGCAGGCGGUGCGGUAAGUUUACGCGUGACAGUCUCCGGCUUAACUGGAGAAGGCCGCUGAAAACUGCUGGACUUGAGGGCCAGAGAGGGACAUAGAAUUCCGGGUGGAGUGGAUGAAAUGCGUAGAUAUCCGGAGGAAUACCAAAGGCGAAGGCAGUGUCCUGGCUGGCAACUGACGCUGAGGCGCGAAAGCUAGGGGAGCGAACAGG
RNAcentral lists this ribosomal RNA (257 nucleotides) under uncultured bacterium. RNAcentral's name for it is "partial 16S ribosomal RNA". It matches the Rfam family "Bacterial small subunit ribosomal RNA", at positions 524 to 776 of the family's 1533-position model. The record is from RNAcentral.